GGCUACGCAGGAGGCAGUUUGGCUGGGGGACAUCCAGACGUGUCACAGAUCCGGAAGCUCGGAGCCCUUGACAGCCUUUGCAAGCCAGGAUUUUCUCUGCGGGGGAAGGAAAGAAGGAAGGAAGGAAGGGAG
This is a non-coding RNA of Pseudonaja textilis, 132 nucleotides long. The record is from RefSeq and is a predicted model, not a curated record. Lineage: Eukaryota; Metazoa; Chordata; Lepidosauria; Squamata; Elapidae.